AUACGUAGGGAGCGAGCGUUGUCCGGAAUUACUGGGCGUAAAGGGCGCGUAGGCGGCGCUUCAAGUCGUCUGUCAAAUGGGAGGGCUUAACCCUUUUUCGCAGACGAAACUGGAGAGCUUGAGAAGCAGAGAGGCAAACAGAAUUCCUGGUAUAGCGGUGAAAUGCGUAGAUAUCAGGAAGAAUACCAGUGGCGAAGGCGGUUUGCUGGCUGCAUACUGACGCUGAAGCGCGAAAGCCAGGGGAGCAAACGGGAUUAGAUACCCCGGUAGUCCUGGCAGUAAACGAUGUAUGCUGGGUGUGAGGCUAGCGAUAGUUUCGUGCCGAAGUUAACGCGAUAAGCAUACCGCCUGGGGAGUACGGUCGCAAGAUUGAAACUCAAAUGAAUUGGCGGGG
This 394-nucleotide ribosomal RNA is filed under the name uncultured bacterium. RNAcentral's name for it is "partial 16S ribosomal RNA". It matches the Rfam family "Bacterial small subunit ribosomal RNA", at positions 523 to 918 of the family's 1533-position model. The record is from RNAcentral.